RNAcentral lists this ribosomal RNA (464 nucleotides) under uncultured bacterium. Its description in RNAcentral is "partial 16S ribosomal RNA". It matches the Rfam family "Bacterial small subunit ribosomal RNA", at positions 28 to 504 of the family's 1533-position model. The record is from RNAcentral.
GAUGAACGCUGGCGGCGCGCCUAACACAUGCAAGUCGAACGAUUAAAGCACCUUCGGGUGUGUAUAAAGUGGCGAACGGCUGAGUAACACGUGGGCAACCUGCCCCUCUCAUUGGGAUAGCCACGGGAAACCGUGGAUAAUACCGAAUACUUCGGGACUUCCGCAUGGAAGACUCGAGAAAGCUCCGGCGGAGAGGGAUGGGCCCGCGGCCUGUUAGCUUGUUGGUGGGGUAAUGGCCUACCAAGGCAAUGAUGGGUAGCUGGGUUGAGAGACCGACCAGCCAGAUUGGGACUGAGACACGGCCCAGACUCCUACGGGAGGCAGCAGUGGGGAAUCUUGCACAAUGGGCGAAAGCCUGAUGCAGCGACGCCGCGUGCGGGAUGAAGGCCUUCGGGUUGUAAACCGCUUUCAGCAGGGACGAGGCGAAAGUGACGGUACCUGCAGAAGAAGCCCCGGCUAACUAC